GAUGAACGCUGGCGGUAUGCUUUACACAUGCAAGUCGUACGGGAGUUUUUAACUCUAGUGGCGGACGGGUGAGUAACACGUAAGAAUUUGCCUUUAGGAGGGGGACAACAACUGGAAACGGUUGCUAAUACCCCAUAUGCUUUCGAGUGAAAUGGAUUUAUCCGCCUAAAGAGAAGCUUGCGGCUGAUUAGCUUGUUGGUGGGGUAAUGGCCUACCAAGGCGACGAUCAGUAUCUGGUUUGAGAGGACGAUCAGACACACUGGAACUGAGACACGGUCCAGACUCCUACGGGAGGCAGCAGUGGGGAAUUUUCCGCAAUGGGCGAAAGCCUGACGGAGCAAUACCGCGUGAGGGAUGAAGGCCUAUGGGUUGUAAACCUCUUUUUUCAGGGAGGAACAAAAUGACGUGUACCUGAAGAAUAAGCAUCGGCUAACUCCGUGCCAGCAGCCGCGGUAAGACGGGGGAUGCAAGUGUUAUCCGGAAUCACUGGGCGUAAAGCGUCUGUAGGUGGUUAAGUAAGUCAACUGUUAAAUCUUGAGGCUUAACCUCAAAAUCGCAGUCGAAACUGCUUGACUAGAGUAUAGUAGGGGUAAAGGGAAUUUCCAGUGGAGCGGUGAAAUG
This 621-nucleotide ribosomal RNA is filed under the name uncultured bacterium. RNAcentral's name for it is "bacterial SSU rRNA". It matches the Rfam family "Bacterial small subunit ribosomal RNA", at positions 28 to 688 of the family's 1533-position model. The record is from RNAcentral.